CUGCCUCCCCCCUCUCCAGCCAAGGGUAAUGGGCCAUGGUGCCCUCCGAGUGUUGGCUCUCGCUGAGGCCACUGCAGUGGAAAAAGGCAUCGUCUAUGUUAUAAGUGCCCCCUCACCUCCUCCCUUGUCUUCUUACCUGCCAAGUCAACACCACAAUUCAGCAUCAGUGACUCCUCCUCCUCCUCCCCCUCUUCAUCCUUCUCCUCCUCCUCCUCCUCCUCCUCUCCUGUGCUCCCAGGGCAGAUGGAUUGCGCAAGUUAGGAGCGAGCUUUGUCUCGGGUGUCAGUGCGCUGUAAUUGGUGGCAGUUUAAGGUGUAAACAAGGUGCCAGUUCAGCGUGUAAUUGCCCCUGUUUGCGUAGGCCCUGGGAGAGAGAGAGAGAGAGAGACAGAGGAAGAGAAGGUGAGAGGGGGGUUGGGAAGAAGGAGAGAGGGGGGGGGGGGGGGGUGGAUGCCUGCCGGAGUGUGAGACCCCCGUUCGCUCGUCUGAAAAUUGGAGGCGCGGACAGCAGAAGGUGACGCGCAGCGAGUGAAGGCGACCGAGAGGCUCUGUGACAUCCUGCUCACUCCCCUUCCUCCUGGUCCUGAAGAGACACAAUUAAAGACCUAAGGAGAGAAGGAAAGGGGGAGAGAGAGAGAGAGAGCGAGAGAGAAAGAGUGGAAGGACUAGCUAGAGUGGAGGAGAGACAGGAAAAGGCUCUCACAAAGACUCAAGAAGUAGAGAGAAAAGUAAGGAAAAUAAAGAAGUAUAAAAAAAAAAUGAAAAUAAAGAAGGAUAAUAAAAAAAAACAGAGAAAGGUAGCUGUGUAGGAGAGAGAGGAGAGAUGCUGUCCAGUACUCAAAACAGAAAACACAAACAGCACUGCACAUAAUAAUACACAUAUGAGAAAGGAACUGUAGCCUUUGAAUAGAAGUAGACACACACACACGUAUACACACACAUGUGCACAGGGCACCUUCCCUGAGCGGAGGCUGUAUUUCCUGUCUCGUUAGGUGCACUGAGAGGGGGGUGGAGGGGGGGUCGCUCUACCCCACGGAGGGUGGCCAUGAUGCGUUUUACUGGGGAAACUCCCACACAGACCUUUACUGUGGGUGAUAUAUGGAGUAGGAGUUCCACCGCUCAUAAACACGCGACACAGUGUAUCACGGCCUGCUUUAGGACUCAAUGAUGACACCAUAAACAGCGAGACAUGUCAAUACUGGAGUAAGAAUAGGAGAUUUAGAGCGAGUGGGUUGGGGGAGAGGAGAGGUAGAUAAAAAAGAGAGGUUAGAUUUAUUUGUUUUGUCUGGGCCCUGUUUUUUUUUUUUGUUGCGGCGAAGCGUUUGUGUCCCGGGUGGCGGCGAGGCGUCUGUGAUUGGCAGGUGUGAUGCGUUUCCUGUGAGGGCAGGACACUGGAGAGGGUGGGGCAGUGUGUCGUUCAUCUCGCUUCUCACUCCGAGCGGUUCGCAAACACACAGACACACACACACACACACACACACACACAUCCCACUCAUCUAACAAACACACCCACACACGCCUAUCCUUGACUGUAGUGGAAGAGUGUGUGGGAGUCCAUCUGUACUUAUCUUAAGGCCCCUAAAUGGCCGUGCACUCUGCAGUGGACUCAGCCAGUGAGGAUGCCACCUUCUGUCUCACUCAGCUCAAAAUGUCUGCUGUCCCACUGUCCUCUGCACAUGUGUGUGUUGGCUUGUUUG
Long non-coding RNA from Clupea harengus (Atlantic herring), 1696 nucleotides. NCBI's taxonomy places the organism in Eukaryota, Metazoa, Chordata, Actinopteri, Clupeiformes, Clupeidae. The record is from Ensembl.